Molecule: ribosomal RNA, 301 nt
Filed under: uncultured bacterium
Lineage: Bacteria
Description: partial 16S ribosomal RNA
Rfam family: Bacterial small subunit ribosomal RNA
Source: RNAcentral
CAGUCGCCGCGGGAAUACGUAGGUCCCGAGCGUUGUCUGGAUUUAUUGGGCGUAAAGCGAGCGCAGGCGGUUAGAUAAGUCUGAAGUUAAAGGCUGUGGCUUAACCAUAGUACGCUUUGGAAACUGUUUAACUUGAGUGCAAGAGGGGAGAGUGGAAUUCCAUGUGUAGCGGUGAAAUGCGUAGAUAUAUGGAGGAACACCGGUGGCGAAAGCGGCUCUCUGGCUUGUAACUGACGCUGAGGCUCGAAAGCGUGGGGAGCAAACAGGAUUAGAUACCCCAGUAGUCCCUGUCUCUUAUACA